AUUGAACGCUGGCGGCAUGCCUUACACAUGCAAGUCGAACGUGAAAGGGGGGCAACCCCCGAGUAGAGUGGCGGACGGGUGAGUAACACAUCGGAACGUACCCAGUAGUGGGGGACAACCUCGAGAAAUCGAGGCUAAUACCGCAUACGACCCACGGGUGAAAGCGGGGGACCGCAAGGCCUCGCGCUAUUGGAGCGGCCGAUGUCCGAUUAGCUUGUUGGCGGGGUAAGAGCCCACCAAGGCGACGAUCGGUAGCUGGUCUGAGAGGAUGAUCAGCCACACUGGGACUGAGACACGGCCCAGACUCCUACGGGAGGCAGCAGUGGGAAUUUUGGACAAUGGGGGCAACCCUGAUCCAGCCAUGCCGCGUGCGGGAAGAAGGCC
RNAcentral lists this ribosomal RNA (384 nucleotides) under uncultured bacterium. RNAcentral's name for it is "bacterial SSU rRNA". It matches the Rfam family "Bacterial small subunit ribosomal RNA", at positions 29 to 416 of the family's 1533-position model. The record is from RNAcentral.